UACGUAGGGUGCAAGCGUUAAUCGGAAUUACUGGGCGUAAAGCGUGCGCAGGCGGUUUUGUAAGUCUGUCGUGAAAUCCCCGGGCUCAACCUGGGAAUGGCGAUGGAGACUGCAAGGCUAGAGUUUGGCAGAGGGGGGUAGAAUUGCAGGUGUAGCGGUGGAAUGCGUAGAGAUCUGCAAGAAUACCCGUGGCGAAGGCGGCCAACUGGGCCGGUUCUGACGCUGAGGCGCGAAAGCGUGGGGAGCAAACAGG
This 253-nucleotide ribosomal RNA is filed under the name uncultured bacterium. RNAcentral describes it as "partial 16S ribosomal RNA". It matches the Rfam family "Bacterial small subunit ribosomal RNA", at positions 524 to 776 of the family's 1533-position model. The record is from RNAcentral.